CGGUGAAGCCAAGCUUGCUUGGUGGAUCAGUGGCGAACGGGUGAGUAACACGUGAGCAACCUGCCCUGGACUCUGGGAUAAGCGCUGGAAACGGCGUCUAAUACUGGAUAUGAGCUCUCAUCGCAUGGUGGGGGUUGGAAAGAUUUUUCGGUCUGGGAUGGGCUCGCGGCCUAUCAGCUUGUUGGUGAGGUAAUGGCUCACCAAGGCGUCGACGGGUAGCCGGCCUGAGAGGGUGACCGGCCACACUGGGACUGAGACACGGCCCAGACUCCUACGGGAGGCAGCAGUGGGGAAUAUUGCACAAUGGGCGGAAGCCUGAUGCAGCAACGCCGCGUGAGGGAUGACGGCCUUCGGGUUGUAAACCUCUUUUAGCAGGGAAGAAGCGAGAGUGACGGUACCUGCAGAAAAAGCGCCGGCUAACUACGUGCCAGCAGCCGCGGUAAUACGUAGGGCGCAAGCGUUAUCCGGAAUUAUUGGGCGUAAAGAGCUCGUAGGCGGUUUGUCGCGUCUGCUGUGAAAUCCCGAGGCUCAACCUCGGGCCUGCAGUGGGUACGGGCAGACUAGAGUGCGGUAGGGGAGAUUGGAAUUCCUGGUGUAGCGGUGGAAUGCGCAGAUAUCAGGAGGAACACCGAUGGCGAAGGCAGAUCUCUGGGCCGUAACUGACGCUGAGGAGCGAAAGGGUGGGGAGCAAACAGGCUUAGAUACCCUGGUAGUCCACCCCGUAAACGUUGGGAACUAGUUGUGGGGACCAUUCCACGGUUUCCGUGACGCAGCUAACGCAUUAAGUUCCCCGCCUGGGGAGUACGGCCGCAAGGCUAAAACUCAAAGGAAUUGACGGGGACCCGCACAAGCGGCGGAGCAUGCGGAUUAAUUCGAUGCAACGCGAAGAACCUUACCAAGGCUUGACAUACACCAGAACACCGUAGAAAUACGGGACUCUUUGGACACUGGUGAACAGGUGGUGCAUGGUUGUCGUCAGCUCGUGUCGUGAGAUGUUGGGUUAAGUCCCGCAACGAGCGCAACCCUCGUUCUAUGUUGCCAGCACGUAAUGGUGGGAACUCAUGGGAUACUGCCGGGGUCAACUCGGAGGAAGGUGGGGAUGACGUCAAAUCAUCAUGCCCCUUAUGUCUUGGGCUUCACGCAUGCUACAAUGGCCGGUACAAAGGGCUGCAAUACCGUGAGGUGGAGCGAAUCCCAAAAAGCCGGUCCCAGUUCGGAUUGAGGUCUGCAACUCGACCUCAUGAAGUCGGAGUCGCUAGUAAUCGCAGAUCAGCAACGCUGCGGUGAAUACGUUCCCGGGUCUUGUACACACCGCCCGUCAAGUCAUGAAAGUCGGUAACACCUGAAGCCGGUGGCCCAACCCUUGUGGAGGGAG
This 1375-nucleotide ribosomal RNA is filed under the name Actinomycetes bacterium. Its description in RNAcentral is "bacterial SSU rRNA". It matches the Rfam family "Bacterial small subunit ribosomal RNA". The record is from RNAcentral. Lineage: Bacteria; Bacillati; Actinomycetota; Actinomycetes.